GGGCGCGUAGCUCAGCUGGUAGAGCAUCUGACUUUUAAUCAGACGGUCAUGGGUUCGAACCCCGUCGCGCUCACCA
RNAcentral lists this transfer RNA (76 nucleotides) under Alphaproteobacteria bacterium. RNAcentral's name for it is "tRNA-Lys". It matches the Rfam family "tRNA". From Rfam's summary of the family: Transfer RNA (tRNA) molecules are approximately 80 nucleotides in length. Their secondary structure includes four short double-helical elements and three loops (D, anti-codon, and T loops). The record is from RNAcentral. Lineage: Bacteria; Pseudomonadati; Pseudomonadota; Alphaproteobacteria.